CGCGGUCCCUCGGCCCCGGGGCCCCGCGGUGCUGGCCCGGGGGUCCCGGGGUGCCCCUGCCCCGCUGAGCGGGCGCUCGGAGCCCCGGAGGGAAUUAGAAAGUUGGUUCGGGUCCUCUGCUCGCCCCGCUGUUCCCCCUUUUUAUUAUUAUUUUUAAUAAGUCAGGGCGGCGGGGGGCUUCACUCUGCGCUUGUGGGCUGUGCAGGACGUGUAGCCAACCCCGUGGUAGGCAGCCACCUCUGAGAGCACCGCCUGAAUCAUUUCCAGGUCCAGCCGAGCCUUUCCAGGUGCAGUUUCUCUUUAGGAAAAAAAAAAAAAAAUAAUUUCCAUUCACCUGUGUGUUUUGGACUUCAUUCUGCAGACAGGUAUGAGUAACGUCGGGCAUGUACAGUUGCAUUUGUGGCACCGUGACGUUAUUUUAUAAUGCCCUCCGGCAAGGAAACUCGGCUGCUCUGUUUGUGCAGCACCCACAGCAGCCGGUCCCGUCUGGCAGUCCUGUUCCUGGCCACGGCUUGGUGAUUGUGGUAAGGCCAGGUAGCCCACGUUAGAUAUUGUUGCUGAAAGUUGGCUUCAGCUAGUCAAGCCAUCCCGCUAAACAUUGGGUCUCGCUUCUUCACCAGGAGAAGCGUUAAAAGUGCUGUGUCCUGUCCUCUUGGUCUGUGUUUGCAAAGUGGAGCCGUAGUUCGUAAUUGGGAAUCUUCAUGUUACACAAUUAAUAAUGUGCUUAAGAAAGUGCUAGGUGUACAGUCUUUUGAUCUGGAAAGAAAAUAAACCAUUCAUGUCUGGGUUUGCAAAGUGCCGGGAUGCUGCCUCUUCCACUGUCUCGUUGCCACCUGGCAUGUGCCCAUAGAGCAAUCCAAUGAGCUUACUAUAACCCUCUUCUGGGACAGCAUUAGAUAAAUCUUAACAAACUUUUUUUUCUGUGUGAGGAUGCUCUGAGAUGAGAUUCCACCUCAACAAAGUGUAAUGUAGUGAGCAGAUCAAAAUUCAAGCAUGCUGUUGUUUUGAAGAGAAUUUGUUAUCUCAGUGCAAAACAAGUUCACAGCUAUUUUAGUAUGCUUACAUUACUUUUACAGGUAAAUGUGCUUCCUCUUCCUUCUCCCUUCCCCUUCUUUUUCAUUAAUUAGAAUUAUUAGUGUUGAGAAAUCAAAAACUUUUUUUUUCUAGUGGAGAUAGUUGAACCAAUUCAAGGUAUCUCAUCUCCCUACAAACUUUGCGAUAUUUAUGGUUUCAGUCCAGUGUGCCCGUUUCACUGUUACUACUACACUAGACAUCUAUAGGACAGCAGUUACUCAGUGGUCGUACAAUAAACAUUACCAUUUUUGAUCCUUUUAGAAAAGCAGUUAUAAUUUAUGAGGUCCUGGUAGAUAGAACUCCCCAAAAAAUUUUUAGGCAUCUCCAACUCGAAAAGCUUUAAAGAAAUGUGGUCUUCUGAUAUAAAUGCAAAGAAAAGUGGAGUUUAUUUAAGGUAUGCAAUUUAAAAACAAGCCCUAUACAUUCAACCAGACAGAGCGUGAAGGAUUAUCUAGAUUUGACUCAUCUGUGUAUAUUGUGCAUUUUAGGCUGAACGCUGAGCUGAGUAACAGUCCACUGGAGUGAUUUCACUGCUCGCUUUUCUGGAUUGUACCAACUUUUAAAAUGUUUUUGGUAUUCCAGAGCUGUUUAUUUCUUUGAAGGAAACUAGACUAGCAGUUGAUGAGACUUGAAAAGACUGGAGACUCAGUUCAAUAUUUGAUGAAACCAUUUGCUGUUUAAUUUUACAUAGGUAAGUGAUUUUCUUCACUGACAUCUUACAUAUCCUACAUGCAGCUGAAAAUACUCCUUAAGCAAGCUGAAACAGGACAAUUCAAAGUCAACUUGAAGUGAAAUGAGGAACUUGCUUGGCUCAGACUUGUGCAUCUGUAGUCCCAACUGGAAAGGUCCAGACAAGAACCUUUCUGAAGUUUGCCACAGGGAGAAAAGCAGCUCACCCUCUGCAACUGCAGGAUUCCUUCUGGCAGGCUCACCGCACAGUCACGCUCCAGACUACCUCUCCUGAGUGCCUGGCUGUGUUGAGUUGCUGUUACGUUUGGUGCCCUGUCUCUGAUAGGGCUCUCGAAUCCUUCAUCAUCUGUGAAGUUAUUUGAACCACUGAGUUACCUACUCCUUCCUGCGCAAAGCAUCGAAGCAUAGCCUCAUCCUCGAAAGCGGUUUGAAUUGCUCGUGUGCAGCUUAGACGCACUCAUCGGUGUGCCUGGGGGAGCACUGGAAGCAGAUGCCUCCAGCAGGCAUUGUGAGUAGAGUUUAGUUCAUCUGCUGACGUGGAAGGCUUUUGUGGAAAGUGAAGCCUCACCGCCUGAUAAGCACAAGAUGAUGUUGCAGAAAUAGGUAAGAAGGCCAAGCGUGCUGCAAUAGCAAGAGUGCAGCCAGCAGAUGCGCAGGGUGAUUGUUCGCCUCUUUUUGGCACUCAGGACGUCGCCCUUGGAGCACCGUGCCCAGGUUUGGUCUCUGAAGGACAGGAGACAUGGACUUGCUGAAGCAAAUCCAGAGGGUGGCUCCCAGGAUGUGCAGGGGGCUGAAGUACAUCAUGUACGAGGAGAGGCUGGGAAACCCAAAUUUGUUUGGCCUUGGUAAGAGAAGUUUCAGGGGAAUCUUAUGGCUCUCUUCAGGUAUAUAACCUGAGGGUGUAGAGAAGACAGAAAUGCUCCAUGUAGAGGUAUGGACCAGAAGGACAACAGCCAGCAGUCACAAGUCACAGUGAAGAAAUUCUCACUGGCCGUAAAGAAAAAUGUUCUCCACAUGAGGGUAUUUAAACGCUGGGGCAGGCACUUAGGGAGGCUGUGGGAUCUGCAGCCUUGGAAAUUGGCUGGAAGCUUGACUGGAAAAGGUGCCGAGCAACCUGCUGUAGUUGCCCUUGCUUUGAGUUUCGUGGGAUUUGUUGAACUAGUUGGCCUCUGGAGAUCCCUUCCAAACUAAAUUAUUUAAUUCUAAAUGCAGCAUCACUCAGUGUAAGAAGGUGGAACUCAGGAAAGGAAAAUGUGAGCUCGGGGAGCCAAAAAGAAUCAAAAUGUAUUAACUUUAAUGAAGGACUAUGUACAGGUAUUCAUUCACAGGACAAAAAUCUGGUUUGCUUUCCAACUUUAAAAAUAAAAUGAUAAAGUGGGGACUAAACAUAAAGGAAAUCUGGUCUGCAAUGUUCAUUUCUAAUUUAAAAGUUGCAACCUUCUGAGCUUAGAAUGAAAUGAAUCUGCAACUUUGAAGACCUACAAAGAUUAUUUAAAAUCACUACCAGAUGGUUUGUCUCUUCUUGAUAUAUUAGGUUAUUAAACAAAAGUGGCCAAACUGUUUUAUUAAUAUGUAAAAUUAGGAUUUUAAAGGCUGGUGUGCGUAGCUUAGUGUGUGGACUUCCCGGUGGGUUCUCCUGGGUCCUGGGAUACAGCAAUCUGAAGAAAACCCGUACCUAGAUGACAGGUAAUCAAAUCGACCUCUGGAUAGCUAUUUUCUCUUUAUUUAUUUUUGAGCUUGGAUUUGCAGCUACAGUAACCUACUUACUAUAUGAUCUGGCUAUUGUUACUAUUUGUCAGUGCUAUUAAAAGAUUCCCCAGAAAGCAGGGAAGAAUUAUAUACUGUGUGUGUCUCAACAAACUGCAUUUGCUGUCUCUUUCUUAAUUCUUUACUUUAAAAAUCUGAGUAGAAAUUUGAACCUUAACAUAUUUUUUUGGCUUUUUCAU
Cygnus olor (mute swan) is the source of this 3710-nucleotide long non-coding RNA. RefSeq lists it as uncharacterized. The transcript has 4 exons. The record is from RefSeq and is a predicted model, not a curated record. Lineage: Eukaryota; Metazoa; Chordata; Aves; Anseriformes; Anatidae.